UAUACAGGGGGUACCGGUACAGAGUCAAUGUGGAGGCUAUAUACAGGGGGUACCGGUACAGAGUCAAUGUGGAGGCUAUAUACAGGGGGUACCGGUACAGAGUCAAUGUGGAGGCUAUAUACAGGGUAUUACGGUACAGAGUCAAUGUGGAGGCUAUAUACAGGGGGUACCGGUACAGAGUCAAUGUGGAGGCUAUAUACAGGGGGUACCGGUACAGAGUCAAUGUGGAGGCUAUAUACAGGGGGGGUACGGCACAGAGUCAAUGU
RNAcentral lists this long non-coding RNA (266 nucleotides) under Salmo salar (Atlantic salmon). RNAcentral describes it as "lncRNA (ENSSSAG00000081904.1, ENSSSAG00000117717.1)". Lineage: Eukaryota; Metazoa; Chordata; Actinopteri; Salmoniformes; Salmonidae. The record is from RNAcentral.